AUCGCUUCUCGGCCUUUUGGCUAAGAUCAAGUGUAGUAUCUGUUCUUAUCAGUUUAAACAAUACAGCAUAGCAACAACUUGGGCAGAAUUCACAUUGAAUUAGGUAUUAAAAGUCAUCUAUAGAGGAUUCAAA
This 133-nucleotide small nuclear RNA is filed under the name Fukomys damarensis (Damara mole-rat). Its description in RNAcentral is "U2 spliceosomal RNA". It matches the Rfam family "U2 spliceosomal RNA". From Rfam's summary of the family: U2 is a small nuclear RNA (snRNA) component of the spliceosome (involved in pre-mRNA splicing). Complementary binding between U2 snRNA (in an area lying towards the 5' end but 3' to hairpin I) and the branchpoint sequence (BPS) of the intron results the bulging out of an unpaired adenosine, on the BPS, which initiates a nucleophilic attack at the intronic 5' splice site, thus starting the first of two transesterification reactions that mediate splicing. Lineage: Eukaryota; Metazoa; Chordata; Mammalia; Rodentia; Bathyergidae. The record is from Rfam by way of RNAcentral.